This 460-nucleotide ribosomal RNA is filed under the name uncultured bacterium. RNAcentral's name for it is "partial 16S ribosomal RNA". It matches the Rfam family "Bacterial small subunit ribosomal RNA", at positions 338 to 795 of the family's 1533-position model. The record is from RNAcentral.
CCUACGGGAGGCAGCAGUGAGGAAUAUUGGUCAAUGGACGAGAGUCUGAACCAGCAAAGUAGCGUGAAGGAUGACUGCCCUAUGGGUUGUAAACUUCUUUUAUAUGGGAAUAAAAUGUUCCACGUGUGGGAUUUUGUAUGUACCAUAUGAAUAAGGAUCGGCUAACUCCGUGCCAGCAGCCGCGGUAAUACGGAGGAUCCGAGCGUUAUCCGGAUUUAUUGGGUUUAAAGGGAGCGUAGGUGGAUUGUUAAGUCAGUUGUGAAAGUUUGCGGCUCAACCAUAAAAUUGCAGUUGAAACUGGCAGUCUUGAGUACAGUAGAGGUGGGCGGAAUUCGUGGUGUAGCGGUGAAAUGCUUAGAUAUCACGAAGAACUCCGAUGGCGAAGGCAGUGCACUGGACUGCAACUGACACUGAGGCUCGAAAGUGUGGGUAGCAAACAGGAUUAGAUACCCGAGUAGUC